This 940-nucleotide ribosomal RNA is filed under the name uncultured archaeon. RNAcentral's name for it is "bacterial SSU rRNA". It matches the Rfam family "Archaeal small subunit ribosomal RNA", at positions 1 to 921 of the family's 1478-position model. The record is from RNAcentral.
UCCGGUUGAUCCUGCCGGACCCCACUGCUAUCGGGAUAGGACUAAGACAUGCUAGUCGAGUGGCUCAGCCAAUACGAGCCACGGCAUACAGCUCAGUAACACGUGGCUAAUCUGCCCUUAGGACGAGAACAACCCCGGGAAACUGGGGCUAACUCUCGAUAGGCGAAGAACUCUGGAAUGAGUCUUCACCCAAAUAGUUCAGCGUUACGCUCGUUGAACCGCCUAAGGAUGAGGCCGCGACCGAUCAGGUUGUUGGUGAGGUAAUGGCUCACCAAGCCUUUUACCGGUGCGGGCCGUGAGAGCGGGAGCCCGGAGAUGGGCACUGAGACAAGGGCCCAGGCCCUACGGGGCGCAGCAGUCGCGAAAACUUUGCAAUACACGAAAGUGUGACAGGGCUAUCCCGAGUGCCAUCCGCUGAGGAAGGCUUUUUACCCAGUCUAGAAAGCUGGGGGAAUAAGGAGAGGGCAAGUCUGGUGUCAGCCGCCGCGGUAAUACCAGCUCUCCGAGUGGUGUGGAUGUUUAUUGGGCCUAAAGCAUCCGUAGCUGGCUAAGUUAGUCCCUUGUUAAAUCCACCGAAUUAAUCGUUGGAUUGCGGGGGAUACUGCUUAGCUAGGGGACGAGAGAGGCAGACGGUAUUUCCGGGGUAGGGGUGAAAUCCUAUAAUCCCGGGGAAGACCACCAGUGGCGAAGGCUGUCUGCUAGAACGCGCCCGACGGUGAGGGAUGAAAGCUGGGGGAGCGAACCGGAUUAGAUACCCGGGUAGUCCCAGCUGUAAACGAUGCAAACUAGGUGUUUGAACGGCCACGUGCCGUUCUAGUGCCGCAGGGAAGCUGUUAAGUUUGCCGCCUGGGGAGUACGAUCGCAAGAUUGAAACUUAAAGGAAUUGGCGGGGGAGCACCACAAGGGGUGAAGCUUGCGGUUUAAUUGGAGUCAACGCCGG